UCAUGGCCUUUAUGACCAGGGCUACACACGUGCUACAAUGGGUGGUACAAAGAGCAGCUAACUCGCGAGAGUAUGCAAAUCUCAAAAAGCCAUCCUCAGUUCGGAUUGGAGUCUGCAACUCGAUUCCAUGAAGUUGGAAUCGCUAGUAAUCGCGGAUCAGCAUGCCGCGGUGAAUACGUUCCGGGCCUU
This 189-nucleotide ribosomal RNA is filed under the name uncultured Smithella sp. RNAcentral's name for it is "partial 16S ribosomal RNA". It matches the Rfam family "Bacterial small subunit ribosomal RNA", at positions 1193 to 1382 of the family's 1533-position model. Lineage: Bacteria; Pseudomonadati; Thermodesulfobacteriota; Syntrophia; Syntrophales; Smithellaceae. The record is from RNAcentral.